UUUAAUUUAUGGUUUCAAUUUAAUUUAAAUAAAAUCUUUUUAACUAUAUUGAACUUCAUACAAAAUACGUACCUAUUUAUUUUUAAUUCGUUCCAAAUUCAAAUUUGGUGUUAUGUACAAUAAUGGCGCGAUUCAUUUUGUUUUUCACAAGAGCCUGUGGCUCGCUAUUGCAAAUUAAAACAUAGUGUGAGUGAUCUUAGAGUCAUUAAAUAUUGUGAAGUGCUUAAUUAACGGUAUAUUAGUGAUUAAUAGAACUGUGUAUCUGUGAAAAACUAUAAGAAGGCAGUGUACAAGAUGAAACAUUCAAGGCAUAGCUACGGUGGACUCGCCUUUAGUUCAAUCAGUGUUUUCCAUAGCUGUCGUCGUAUUUCACUGCGUGGUUUCAAUUUACACAAUAUUUGAUGUGUUUCUCAGACAGACGGUGGUUAAAUAUUCUUAUACAAAUAACAUGGUUGCCGUUCUACUGUAUCACACCAUUGCAAUUACUGCAUUAUUAAUAUCUGGUCAAAGCGUCAAAAAUGAAGUUGGGACACUCAACAAAGCGCUGGCAAGACUUAUUCUAAAAGUUUCCACACGUAAGUCAACAAUUAAGU
This is a long non-coding RNA of Trichoplusia ni (cabbage looper), 593 nucleotides long. RefSeq lists it as uncharacterized. The record is from RefSeq and is a predicted model, not a curated record. The transcript has 3 exons. NCBI's taxonomy places the organism in Eukaryota, Metazoa, Arthropoda, Insecta, Lepidoptera, Noctuidae.